UACGGGGGGUGCCAGCGUUACUCGGAAUCACUGGGCGUAAAGGGCGCGUAGGCGGCCUAGCAAGUCUGGUGUGAAAGCCCAGGGCUCAACCCUGGAAGGGCACUGGAAACUGUUAGGCUUGAGUUCCGGAGAGGAGGGGGGCAUUCUCGGUGUAGCGGUGAAAUGCGUAGAUAUCGGGAGGAAUACCGGUGGCGAAGGCGCCCCUCUGGACGGAAACUGACGCUGAGGCGCGAAAGCGUGGGGAGCAAACAGG
RNAcentral lists this ribosomal RNA (253 nucleotides) under uncultured bacterium. Its description in RNAcentral is "partial 16S ribosomal RNA". It matches the Rfam family "Bacterial small subunit ribosomal RNA", at positions 524 to 776 of the family's 1533-position model. The record is from RNAcentral.